UGGGAUGUAACAAAGAACACCCGUGC
RNAcentral lists this non-coding RNA (26 nucleotides) under Mus musculus (house mouse). The record is from RNAcentral. Lineage: Eukaryota; Metazoa; Chordata; Mammalia; Rodentia; Muridae.